Molecule: ribosomal RNA, 508 nt
Filed under: uncultured Glomus
Lineage: Eukaryota; Fungi; Glomeromycota; Glomeromycetes; Glomerales; Glomeraceae
Description: SSU rRNA
Rfam family: Eukaryotic small subunit ribosomal RNA
Source: RNAcentral
AGCAGCCGCGGUAAUUCCAGCUCCAAUAGCGUAUAUUAAAGUUGUUGCAGUUAAAAAGCUCGUAGUUGAAUUUCGGGGUUAGUAGGUUGGCCAUGCCUCUGGUAUGUACUGGUCUCACUGAUUCCUCCUUCCUGAUGAGCCGUAAUGCCAUUAAUUUGGUGUUGCGGGGAAUUUGGACUGUUACUUUGAAAAAAUUAGAGUGUUUAAAGCAAGCUAACGCUUGAAUACAUUAGCAUGGAAUAAUGAAAUAGGACGUUCGAUCCUAUUUUGUUGGUUUCUAGGAUUGACGUAAUGAUUAAUAGGGAUAGUUGGGGGCAUUAGUAUUCAAUUGUCAGAGGUGAAAUUCUUGGAUUUAUUGAAGACUAACUACUGCGAAAGCAUUUGCCAAGGAUGUUUUCAUUAAUCAAGAACGAAAGUUAGGGGAUCGAAGACGAUCAGAUACCGUCGUAGUCUUAACCAUAAACUAUGCCGACUAGGGAUCGGAUGAUGUUAAUUUUUUAAUGACUCA